This 615-nucleotide ribosomal RNA is filed under the name Pseudoxanthomonas kaohsiungensis. RNAcentral describes it as "bacterial SSU rRNA". It matches the Rfam family "Bacterial small subunit ribosomal RNA", at positions 294 to 879 of the family's 1533-position model. Lineage: Bacteria; Pseudomonadati; Pseudomonadota; Gammaproteobacteria; Lysobacterales; Lysobacteraceae. The record is from RNAcentral.
GAGAGGAUAUUCAGGCACAAUGGAACUGAGGACCGGUCCAGAAUCUUACGGGAGGCAGCAGUGGGGGAAUAUUGGGACCAUGGGGGCGCAGGCCUGGAUCCCAGCCCAUACCCGCCGUGAGGUGAAGAAGGGCCCUCGGGGUUUGUAAAGCUCUUUUUGUUGCGAAAAGAAAUCCUUGUCGGUUUAAUACCUGGCAGGGAUGACGGGUACCCAAAGAAUAAGCACCGGCUUAACUUCGUGCCCAGCAGCCGCGGUAAUACGAAGGGUGCAAGCGUUACUCGGAAUUACUGGGCGUAAAGCGUGCGUCAGGUGGUUGUUUAAGUCUGUCGUGAAAGCCCUGGGCUCAACCUGGGAAUUGCGAUGGAUACUGGGCAACUAGAGUGUGGUAGAGGGUGGCGGAAUUCCCGGUGUAGCAGUGAAAUGCGUAGAGAUCGGGAGGAACAUCCGUGGCGAAGGCGGCCACCUGGGCCAACACUGACACUGAGGCACGAAAGCGUGGGGAGCAAACAGGAUUAGAUACCCUGGUAGUCCACGCCCUAAACGAUGCGAACUGGAUGUUGGGUUCAACUUGGAACCCAGUAUCGAAGCUAACGCGUUAAGUUCGCCGCCUGUUGA